UACGUAGGGAGCAAGCGUUGUUCGGAAUUACUGGGCGUAAAGGGCCAGUAGGCGGCCAACUAAGUCGGAUGUGAAAUCCCCAGGCUUAACCUGGGAACUGCAUCUGAUACUGGAUGGCUUGAGUUCGGGAGAGGGAUGCGGAAUUCCAGGUGUAGCGGUGAAAUGCGUAGAUAUCUGGAGGAACACCGGUGGCGAAGGCGGCAUCCUGGACCGACACUGACGCUGAGGCGCGAAAGCUAGGGGAGCGAACGGG
Molecule: ribosomal RNA, 253 nt
Filed under: uncultured bacterium
Lineage: Bacteria
Description: partial 16S ribosomal RNA
Rfam family: Bacterial small subunit ribosomal RNA
Source: RNAcentral